Molecule: RNA transcript, 2438 nt
Organism: Lemur catta (Ring-tailed lemur)
Lineage: Eukaryota; Metazoa; Chordata; Mammalia; Primates; Lemuridae
Gene name: neurotrypsin-like
Exons: 6
Source: RefSeq, a predicted model, not a curated record
GAAGCCUGGAGAAGCAGAUGGAAUCAGUGAGCUCAGGUGGCCAACACGAGCUCCGUGUUCUCACCGUCUGGUCCACACUGUGACUUCUAUGGUCAGGAAUUUGAGGGUUUUCCUCUUUGUCUGCAUUCUCUUUGAUGGGCGGGUUACAUUGCAGACAAAACACAAGAAUGAAUGGGGAAAGAGGUUUAGUUAUUCAUUAGUUACCCAGUGAAAUAAUAGAAAAUUUUUAAGAUGACCAACAUGUGUGAUGGAGCAAACAUAGCUCUUAGAACUUUGUCCCCAAGGUAGGAAAGGAACAAAUACUUACCCUCUGAAGUCAUGACACUUCAUGAGGUUGUUUUAUGUGUGGUGGUUCCUUGAAGCCAGCAGUCUACCAGCCAUGUUUGUUUUAUUGUCACAGAUACGGCAAACAAACCUCCGCAAACCACUUCCCAGAAAGCAUGGGUCCCAUAUGGCUGGACGAUGUCACCUGCUCCGGAAAGGAAACCAGUUUCCUCGACUGUUCCAGGAAGCCCUGGGGGCGGCAUGACUGUGGCCAUCGCAAGGACGUUGGAGUCGCCUGCUACCCUGGCAGCGAGGGACACAGACUUUCUCUGGGUUUUCCUCUCCGACUGGUGUAUGGAGAAAACAAGAAGGAGGGAUGCAUGGAGGUUUUUAUCCAUGGCCAGUGGGGAACCAUCUGCGACGAUGGAUGGAGUGACAAGGACGCAGCUGUGGUCUGUCGGCAGCUUGGCUUUAAGGGCCCCGCCAGAGCACGAGGCGUGGCUUACUUUGGGGAAGGAGCAGGACCCAUCCACGUGGACAACGUGAAGUGCACAGGACAUGAGAGGUCCUUGGCUGACUGCAUCAAGCAGGACAUCGGAAGACACAACUGCCGCCACAGCGAGGAUGCGGGCGUUAUUUGCGAUUAUUCUGGCAAGAAAGCGUCAGGUAACAGUAAGAAAGGGCCCCUGGCGUCUGUCUGUGGGCUGAGGUUACUGCACCGUCGGCAGAAGUGGAUCAUUGGUGGGAAAAAUUCCUUAAGGAUUUCUUGCUAUGGAUGAACUUUUUCAAGACUUAAAAAAGGGACAAGCUUCCUGGUUAAAGUCAUGUCAAAGCUGACCCCAUGGCUUGGUUACUGGACUCUGCCUUACUGUCUAGCUCAUACAUUAAUAAAUGGGCACCUUAGCUCUGCUCUGCAGCUCUGGAGACCGUGCUUAGAGCAGGGUUGCCAGAGACGAUGCAGACUUUCAAAAUGUAAGUAAAUACAGAUGAUGUUUAGAUAAAAUGCAAAGUAAAAAAUUUGAAUUUCAGACAGACAACCAAUAUUUUUUUAGUAUAAGUAUGUCACAAAUAUUGCACGACAACCCCAGAUCGGAAGCCAUCUUUCAAAUCAACCUUGAGUUCUGAGGCGCUGAGAAGCACUGCUCAGCUCGUCCAUUGCCACAUUGUCCCUCUUUCCCUGGGGCCUGAGCACUGUCAGGGGCGACCCUAUCUCGCUCUGGGGAGGAGCGUGCGGUGCGGCGGGACGAGCUCAGGGAGUGGACAGCUGCCGGGCAGCCACGCGAGCCCAGGCAGCCCCAGCCAGUCCAGCAACCCAGCUCUUCUGGGAAGGAGGUUUAAACAAAUACCCUCCACUGGGAAGAAAGAGAUCACGGUGUCUGUGGGUUCUCAGUAUUGGGUGUGUAUGUAAAGCUGUAUGAAAUCGUGUGAAGAGAUUAAAAUUUUAAUGACCACCCUUUGCACUCUAAGGAUCUAUCAAAAUUCCGCCUUGAGCUUCCUGAGAGAGAAACUUCCUUUCCCGUCUCGUUGAUAAACCGACACGGGUUCUGUUUGCUCUGUAAAUGUAUGAAAAAAGGGCUGGCCUUUCAGUUCCUGGUUUGGUAAGGACUGUUGAGAAUCUGGAAGUCCUUGGACAGGCUAAUGAAAUGGAAUUCUGAAGACACUACCCGGAAUCUUAUCAAAUUCAAAGUGAACUAUAAAUUUUUAUCACUUUUUGAAACCCAAGUGCAAGCCCAACUAACCUGGAGGUAGAAUUGGGCCUGUCCACCUGGAUCGGGAAUGGAGGCAGAGGCUGCAACGUGUCCCACGAGUCCGGUGGGGCAGAUCCUGGCUGACGUACGAAGACUCAUUGUUUUCAUCUUCAUUAUCCGUAGAAAUACACCCCAACUGACUGCAGAAAGGUAAUCGAACUGAUCAGCAAAUUCAUAUUAAAUAAGGCAUCUGGAGAAGAUAUUUUUGACACUCAAAGUUGUUUUUAAAGUUUUGGGUUCUAAUUCUUGUCAUCUUAUUUAUUACUGUUAACUCUGCAGAUAAUAAUUUUACCAGUUUUAUUUCAAAAUGUAGUCCAUCUUUUUUCUUUUAGAGCAAUCGCUCUCACUCCCUCUCAACCAUAUACUUUUCCUCUGUGCUUACUUUCUGAAUGUUAAUAUGAGUGGACUGUCCAGGUCAACAUUCUG